GAUGAACGCUGGCGGCGUGCCUAAUACAUGCAAGUCGAGCGAACGGACGAGAAGCUUGCUUCUCUGAUGUUAGCGGCGGACGGGUGAGUAACACGUGGAUAACCUACCUAUAAGACUGGGAUAACUUCGGGAAACCGGAGCUAAUACCGGAUAAUAUUUUGAACCGCAUGGUUCAAAAGUGAAAGACGGUCUUGCUGUCACUUAUAGAUGGAUCCGCGCUGCAUUAGCUAGUUGGUAAGGUAACGGCUUACCAAGGCAACGAUGCAUAGCCGACCUGAGAGAGUGAUCGGCCACACUGGAGCUGAGACACGGUCCAGACGCCUACGGGAGGCAGCAGUAGGGAAUCUUCCGCAAUGGGCGAAAGCCUGACGGAGCAACGCCGCGUGAGUGAUGAAGGUCUUCGGAUCGUAAAACUCUGUUAUUAGGGAAGAACAUAUGUGUAAGUAACUGUGCACAUCUUGACGGUACCUAAUCAGAAAGCCACGGCUAACUACGUG
RNAcentral lists this ribosomal RNA (497 nucleotides) under uncultured bacterium. RNAcentral's name for it is "partial 16S ribosomal RNA". It matches the Rfam family "Bacterial small subunit ribosomal RNA", at positions 28 to 507 of the family's 1533-position model. The record is from RNAcentral.